Molecule: ribosomal RNA, 468 nt
Filed under: uncultured bacterium
Lineage: Bacteria
Description: partial 16S ribosomal RNA
Rfam family: Bacterial small subunit ribosomal RNA
Source: RNAcentral
GACGAACGCUGGCGGCGUGCUUAACACAUGCAAGUCGAACGGCAAGGCCCUGCUUUUUUGGUGUGCUCGAUUGGCGAACGGGUGAGUAACACGUGAGUAACCUGCCCUUGACUUUGGUAUAACUUCAGGAAACUGGGGCUAAUACCGUAUAGGAGCUCCUGCUGCAUGGUGGGGGUUGGAUAUUUUCGGCUGUUGGGGAUGGACUCGCGGCUUAUCAGCUUGUUGGUGGGGUAGUUGCUUACCCAGGCUUUGACGGGUAGCCGGCCUGAGAGGGUGACCGGCCACAUUGGGACUGAGAUACGGAGCAGACUCCUACGGGAGGCAGCAGGGGGGAAUAUGGCACAAUGGGAGGAAGCCUGAGGCAGAAACGCCGCGUGCGGGAUGACGGCCUGCGGGUUGUAAACAGCUGUCGCCUGUGACGAAGCGGGAGUGACGGUAAUGGGUAAAGAAGCACCGGCUAACUACGUG